RNAcentral lists this ribosomal RNA (792 nucleotides) under uncultured archaeon. RNAcentral's name for it is "bacterial SSU rRNA". It matches the Rfam family "Archaeal small subunit ribosomal RNA", at positions 1 to 774 of the family's 1478-position model. The record is from RNAcentral.
UUCCGGUUGAUCCCGCCGGACCCCACUGCUACCGAGAUGGGACUAAGGUAUGCUAGUCGAACGACCAGAACUAUGUCUGGAAGUGGCACACUGCUCAGUAACACGUAGCUAACCUACCCUUAGGACGUGGAUACCCCCGAGAAAUUGGGGUUAAUCCGCGAUAGAUGUAAUGUCCUGGAAUGGUAUUACGUCUAAAGGUAUUUCAUACAUGUUUGAAAUAUGCCUAAGGAUGGGGCUGCGGCCGAUCAGGCUGUUGGUGAGGUAAUGGCUCACCAAACCUUUGACCGGUACGGGCCAUGAGAGUGGUAGCCCGGAGAUGGACACUGAGACAAGGGUCCAGGCCCUAAGGGGCGCAGCAACCGCGAAACCUCCACAAUGCACUCACGUGCGAUGGGGCUAUCUCGAGUGCCACCUGAUGAAGGUGGCUUUUCCUUGGUCUUCAAAGCCUUGGGAAUAAGAGGGGGGCAAGACUGGUGUCAGCCGCCGCGGUAACACCAGCCCCUCGAGUGGUGGGGAUGAUUAUUUGGCCUAAAGCGUCCGUAGCCGGCCGAGCAAGUCUUCCGUUAAAUCCAGCGUCUCAAGCGUUGGACCGCGGGAGAUACUACACGGCUAGAGAGUGGGAGAGGUCAGCGGUAUUCUGGGGGUAGGGGCGAAAUCCUUUGAUCCCCGGAGGACCACCAGUGGCGAAGGCUGCUGACUAGAACACGUCUGACGGUCAGGGACGAAAGCUGGGGUAGCGAACCGGAUUAGAUACCCGGGUAGUCCCAGCCGUAAACGAUGCAUGCUAGGUGU